CCUACGGGAGGCAGCAGUGGGGAAUUUUGGACAAUGGGCGAAAGCCUGAUCCAGCCAUGCCGCGUGCAGGAUGAAGGCCUUCGGGUUGUAAACUGCUUUUGUACGGAACGAAACGGCCUUUUCUAAUAAAGAGGGCUAAUGACGGUACCGUAAGAAUAAGCACCGGCUAACUACGUGCCAGCAGCCGCGGUAAUACGUAGGGUGCAAGCGUUAAUCGGAAUUACUGGGCGUAAAGCGUGCGCAGGCGGUUAUGUAAGACAGUUGUGAAAUCCCCGGGCUCAACCUGGGAACUGCAUCUGUGACUGCAUAGCUAGAGUACGGUAGAGGGGGAUGGAAUUCCGCGUGUAGCAGUGAAAUGCGUAGAUAUGCGGAGGAACACCGAUGGCGAAGGCAAUCCCCUGGACCUGUACUGACGCUCAUGCACGAAAGCGUGGGGAGCAAACAGGAUUAGAUACCCUGGUAGUCC
This 466-nucleotide ribosomal RNA is filed under the name uncultured Variovorax sp. RNAcentral's name for it is "bacterial SSU rRNA". It matches the Rfam family "Bacterial small subunit ribosomal RNA", at positions 338 to 796 of the family's 1533-position model. Lineage: Bacteria; Pseudomonadati; Pseudomonadota; Betaproteobacteria; Burkholderiales; Comamonadaceae. The record is from RNAcentral.